This 644-nucleotide ribosomal RNA is filed under the name uncultured bacterium. RNAcentral describes it as "bacterial SSU rRNA". It matches the Rfam family "Bacterial small subunit ribosomal RNA", at positions 324 to 960 of the family's 1533-position model. The record is from RNAcentral.
ACAGGGCCCAAACUCAUACGGGAGGCAGCAGUAGGGAAUCUUCCACAAUGGUCGCAAGUCUGAUGGAGCAACGCCGCGUGAGUGAAGAAGGUUUUCGGAUCGUAAAGCUCUGUUGUUGGUGAAGAAGGAUAGAGGUAGUAACUGGCCUUUAUUUGACGGUAAUCAACCAGAAAGUCACGGCUAACUACGUGCCAGCAGCCGCGGUAAUACGUAGGUGGCAAGCGUUGUCCGGAUUUAUUGGGCGUAAAGCGAGCGCAGGCGGAAGAAUAAGUCUGAUGUGAAAGCCCUCGGCUUAACCGAGGAACUGCAUCGGAAACUGUUUUUCUUGAGUGCAGAAGAGGAGAGUGGAACUCCAUGUGUAGCGGUGGAAUGCGUAGAUAUAUGGAAGAACACCAGUGGCGAAGGCGACUCUCUGGUCUGCAACUGACGCUGAGGCUCGAAAGCAUGGGUAGCGAACAGGAUUAGAUACCCUGGUAGCCCAUGCCGUAAACGAUGAGUGCUAAGUGUUGGGAGGUUUCCGCCUCUCAGUGCUGCAGCUAACGCAUUAAGCACUCCGCCUGGGGAGUACGACCGCAAGGGUUGAAACUCAAGGAAUUGACGGGGGCCCGCACAAGCGGUGGAGCAUGUGUUUAAUUUCGAGCAAC